AUGAACGCUGGCGGCGUGCCUAAUACAUGCCAGUCGAGCGAACAGACGAGGAGCUUGCUCCUCUGACGUUAGCGGCGGACGGGUGAGUAACACGUGGAUAACCUACCUAUAAGAUUGGGAUAACUUCGGGAAACCGGAGCUAAUACCGGAUAAUAUAUUGAACCGCAUGGUUCAAUAGUGAAAGACGGUUUUGCUGUCACUUAUAGAUGGAUCCGCGCCGCAUUAGCUAGUUGGUAAGGUAACGGCUUACCAAGGCAACGAUGCGUAGCCGACCUGAGAGGGUGAUCGGCCACACUGGAACUGAGACACGGUCCAGACUCCUACGGGAGGCAGCAGUAGGGAAUCUUCCGCAAUGGGCGAAAGCUUGACGGAGCAACGCCGCGUGAGUGAUGAAGGUCUUCGGAUCGUAAAACUCUGUUAUUAGGGAAGAACAAAUGUGUAAGUAACUAUGCACGUCUUGACGGUACCUAAUCAGAAAGCCACGGCUAACUACGUG
This 496-nucleotide ribosomal RNA is filed under the name uncultured bacterium. RNAcentral describes it as "partial 16S ribosomal RNA". It matches the Rfam family "Bacterial small subunit ribosomal RNA", at positions 29 to 507 of the family's 1533-position model. The record is from RNAcentral.